This 253-nucleotide ribosomal RNA is filed under the name uncultured bacterium. RNAcentral's name for it is "partial 16S ribosomal RNA". It matches the Rfam family "Bacterial small subunit ribosomal RNA", at positions 524 to 776 of the family's 1533-position model. The record is from RNAcentral.
UCCGGAGGUGACCAGCCUUGUUCGGAAUGACGGGGCGUAAAGCGCGCGUAGGCGGAUUUGCAAGUCGGGGGUGAAAUCCCGAGGCUCAACCUCGGGGCUGCCUUCGAUACUGCAAGUCUCGAGUCCGGAAGAGGUGAGUGGAAUUCCUAGUGUAGAGGUGAAAUUGGUAGAUAUUAGGAAGAACACGAGUGGCGAAGGCGGCUCGCUGGUCCGGUUCGGACGCUGAGGCGCGGAAGCGUGGGGAGCAAACAGG